CUGAGAAUACGCCCUAUUGACUGUGCUUGGCUGAGACAGAUGCAUCAUGGGAUCGUAUGCAAAAUCAGCUGACCUCAGGACUGAAAACAUGGAAGCCUGAUGAUAAAGUGUUGGCUACAGUCAACGACUCAUGUCAUCUGUGCACUGGAGAAUCCACCACCACAUGGCUGUUGCCAUGGACACCGGUGUGCAAAGCAGGCCAGCAGGAGGGAAGUGGGUCUGUGGAGCUCAGAGUGAGAUGACACACUGCAGCCAAACACGUGCCGCAGAGCUCAGAUGGACUGGGAGGAAAACACACGGCAGCUCAGAGAGAAGCCGCCAUGACGGAAACACGGCUGAGCUCAGUAUUGUACUGCAGUGCGGUCGUGGAUCCUGUCGUAUAUGAUAAUAAAAAUGCACACUGCUAAAUAUGAACAGAUUAAGUAUUCCUUAAUUGGCAGAUUAAGGAAUCUAAUUGGAUUGUCAAAGACAAUAAGGGAAUCAGUGAGUGAUUGUGCCAAGGCAUAUUAAAAGGAGUUGAAAGCCUCACAAUCACCCUAGUGGACACACAUAUUUUGGCCCUGUCCACAUGGAAAUGGAACAAAAUGUCAAAAAUCUUUAUCUUUCUAUUCCUCACCAACAGUUCGCUUGACGGGCUUCAAACUUGGCAGGUGACUUACUGAGUGUUUGGAUAAGAAAUGAAGAGAGCCAUAGAAAUGGCUAAAAGAGUCACUCCCACACUGUCUCACACAGCGUGUUCUACAUCAGCUCGAACAGAAACAACUGUCAGAGUGUGCGUUUUGUGUUUUAAAGCAAACAGCUUGAGGAAGGCUCCAGCCGCAUAAACCCAAUGCCAUCCAAACCAAAGAAGGAGGAGGAAUCUUCAGGAGCAGUUUGUUACAAGUGACUGGACUUGUUUUGUCAAGGACCUUCACAGACAAAAUAGUGGGAGAGAGAGAGAGUGAUUUGUGAAAAGGUGU
Molecule: long non-coding RNA, 959 nt
Organism: Solea senegalensis (Senegalese sole)
Lineage: Eukaryota; Metazoa; Chordata; Actinopteri; Pleuronectiformes; Soleidae
Exons: 3
Source: RefSeq, a predicted model, not a curated record